CUCCUCCAAAGGUAACCACCAAGCUGAUGCUGGCUGGAGUUGUUUCAUAUGUUUAGAUAGUUUGUUAUCUCAUGCAUGCUGUCAUCUGCUGCCCUCCCUCAGGUGUUGGCGGGCUGAGAAGAGUCUGACAGAGGAACGUAGUCGGCCAUCUUGGAAAGAGGAAAAUGUCUUCUUCACACACGGAACAAGAAGACAAAGACAGCCCAACGCCUCAGUGCUCUCAGUUGGCUGAAGAUGCUCACUUAACAAGUGCAGACUUACAUGAGCGCUACAGUUGUGAUCAGUGUGACAAGAAGUUUCAUACCCAGGGUCACCUCAGAAGACACCAGCGCAUCCACACUGGGGAAAAACCCUUCAGUUGUGACCAGUGUGGGAAGAGUUUUAGUCAGAACCCCACUUAAAAAGACAUCGCCUCAGCCACAGCGGCGUCAAACCACACAGAUGCCGCCAGUGUGGAAGGACAUUUAGUUUGAUGGACAACUUGAGAACUCAUCAGCUCCUACACAGAGGAGUCAAACCAUAUGCAUGUAGCCAGUGUGGGAAGGCUUUUACUCAGAUGACCCACUUACAAACCCAUAAGAUGGUCCACAGCGGAGAUAAACCACACAUGUGUGAGGAGUGCGGAAAGACUUUUAUUCAGCCGGGCAACUUAAAAAGACAUAAACUGGUCCACAGUGGAGUUAAAGCGCACAAGUGUGACCUGUGCGGGAGGGCUUUUGCUUUGAAGGCGAAUUUGGUGUCACACAAGCUGAUGCCGCAUGUGAGUAAUCCUGUGACCUUUCUGGAAAAACCUCCAGCCACUAACCCCAGAAACACACCAACAGACACUGAUGUGUGAUCAGUGCAGCAGUUCAGUUUACACAAACUCGAGCUUAAAUCAACUCUACACUUACUGACCAUGAACCACACACCACUGUGACCAGUGUGACAAAGCCUAGAACCAGUUUAGAGGUAAUUCAACUGUGACAAACCACUGCGAAGAGCUCCACGUGGAAAAGACUGAAGAGCCCCCAUUGUAAGGUGUUUUUUUUAAUUUUUAUUUUUGUCUUCUUGUCCCUUCUGCACAUUUUUGCCACCAGAUUAACUUUGGUUGUUUGACUACUCUACUCUUCCUGGUAAGCUGCCUGAAACACCUUUACCUUCAAGCACCCAGGAUACACUAGCUAUGAGCCAGGUCAGCUGGCUCUGAACCCCUCUAGAACAACCAGGCAUCUUACCAAAUCAGGACAGUCCAGAUUUCCUUUGGAGGAAACUCGUGUCUGGAUAGUCUUGUGGGCGAAGUGAGGAUAGGAACACAGAUGCUUUUAAAACCCUGCAGAACCACCUUAGGUGCUAGUUUUCCUUGAAGCUCAACAUGUGGUGUAGGUAGAGAUGCUCUUUUGGUCAGUCAAGCUGUGAUGCUGCCAGCAGGAAAUGCUGCAGGAAACUCCGACUUACUUUGUCCUUGUUUUAGAAGCAGACUGGCACAGAUGAAAGUGGCCACGCUGAAAGAACGGUCAACAUAAACACCAGACACACACACUGAUGUACUGUAAAGAAUGAGGAGCUGUAUCUCUAUACCAGGCUUGUUUAAAAGUUCAUGAAGUCAGCCAUGAACAUGGAGAUCAAGCUUUUUAGGAGUCUUCUUGGAUUUAUCUUUGUGUCUGUGGUCUGAAGAACCGCUCAUUUCUGGAGUGAAACGGUGCAUUAGGACAGUUUUUCCACAGUGCUUUAUUGGUCCUUUAUAUAUCAUAACAUGGAUGGGGAAACUCCCAGCGGGAGUAGUGGGUCAUUAAAUGUUACCUACUUUACAGGAAGUUUUUAUUUUUAAUUUUUUAAAAUCUAAAUUACAAAGAAUUGUGCUCACUCAGACCCUCAUCCUGAUCAGUUGUAAAUAUGCAUAAAGUUAAAUUUGCAGUCCAGGGUUGGUGUUCUCACUGUUGUAGAUGCUGGAGGAGUGACAUGUUUUGGGCUUUUGCUUGAAAAGAUUAUAAAGUUGCAGGUGUUUGAAUAUUUGGUGUUUGUAUUUUGAUGCUAUGGAAAGUUUUCCCACUUUGUUAUUGAAUCACAGCAAGGAAACAAAUGGUACAAAUAAUUCACGAAUGUUUUUAAUGUAAUGUCCUGGUGUUGAGGCAGGUCUGCAAGCUGCAUGUGACACAAAUCAAUGCAAUUUUUUUUUUCUUUUAACGAGCUGAUGUGUAUAAAAGAUUUGUUACUGGUAAUACGGCAAAACUUUAUUCUAGUUUUUAAAUGUUCGAGUUAAA
This is a long non-coding RNA of Oreochromis aureus, 2243 nucleotides long. RefSeq lists it as uncharacterized. The transcript has 3 exons. NCBI's taxonomy places the organism in Eukaryota, Metazoa, Chordata, Actinopteri, Cichliformes, Cichlidae. The record is from RefSeq and is a predicted model, not a curated record.